RNAcentral lists this ribosomal RNA (305 nucleotides) under uncultured bacterium. Its description in RNAcentral is "bacterial SSU rRNA". It matches the Rfam family "Bacterial small subunit ribosomal RNA", at positions 338 to 660 of the family's 1533-position model. The record is from RNAcentral.
CCUAUGGGGGGCAGCAGUGGGGGAUAUUGCACAAUGGGGGAAACCCUGAUGCAGCGACGCCGCGUGAGCGAUGAAGUAUUUCGGUAUGUAAAGCUCUAUCAGCAGGGAAGAAAAUGACGGUACCUGACUAAGAAGCCCCGGCUAACUACGUGCCAGCAGCCGCGGUAAUACGUAGGGGGCAAGCGUUAUCCGGAUUUACUGGGUGUAAAGGGAGCGUAGACGGCAGUGCAAGUCUGAAGUGAAAGGCAAGGGCUCAACCCUUGGACUGCUUUGGAAACUGUGCUGCUGGAGUGUCGGAGAGGCAA